This 494-nucleotide ribosomal RNA is filed under the name Acinetobacter baumannii. RNAcentral's name for it is "bacterial SSU rRNA". The record is from RNAcentral. Lineage: Bacteria; Pseudomonadati; Pseudomonadota; Gammaproteobacteria; Moraxellales; Moraxellaceae.
AAGGUAGCUUGCUACYGGACCUAGCGGCGGACGGGUGAGUAAUGCUUAGGAAUCUGCCUAUUAGUGGGGGACAACAUCUCGAAAGGGAUGCUAAUACCGCAUACGUCCUACGGGAGAAAGCAGGGGAUCUUCGGACCUUGCGCUAAUAGAUGAGCCUAAGUCGGAUUAGCUAGUUGGUGGGGUAAAGGCCUACCAAGGCGACGAUCUGUAGCGGGUCUGAGAGGAUGAUCCGCCACACUGGGACUGAGACACGGCCCAGACUCCUACGGGAGGCAGCAGUGGGGAAUAUUGGACAAUGGGGGGAACCCUGAUCCAGCCAUGCCGCGUGUGUGAAGAAGGCCUUAUGGUUGUAAAGCACUUUAAGCGAGGAGGAGGCUACUYUAGUUAAUAYCUAGAGAUAGUGGACGUUACUCGCAGAAUAAGCACCGGCUAACUCUGUGCCAGCAGCCGCGGUAAUACAGAGGGUGCGAGCGUUAAUCGGAUUUACUGGGCGU